Molecule: microRNA, 21 nt
Filed under: Panagrellus redivivus
Lineage: Eukaryota; Metazoa; Nematoda; Chromadorea; Rhabditida; Panagrolaimidae
Description: prd-miR-7865-3p
Source: miRBase by way of RNAcentral
CUAAAUCAUGUCGAUCUGGUC